UGAACGCUGGCGGCGUGCUUAACACAUGCAAGUCGAACGAGAAAGGGAUUGCUUGCAAUCCUGAGUAGAGUGGCGCACGGGUGAGUAACACGUAGAUAAUCUACCUUCAAGCCUGGGAUAACUAUUCGAAAGGAUAGCUAAUACCGGAUAAAGUAUUUUAAUAUAAGUUAAACUAUGAAAGAUUGCCAAUUCAUGAAAGCAAUUGUUUGAAGAUGAGUUUGCGGACCAUUAGUUAGUUGGUGGGGUAACGGCCUACCAAGACGACGAUGGUUAGCUGGUCUGAGAGGAUGAUCAGCCACACUGGAACUGGUACACGGUCCAGACUCCUACGGGAGGCAGCAGUGAGGAAUUUUGCGCAAUGGGGGAAACCCUGACGCAGCAACGCCGCGUGAGUGAAGAAGGCCUUUGGGUCGUAAAGCUCUGUCGACAGGGAAGAAAUUGAAGUUAUCCAAUAGGUGAUUUCAUUGACGGUACCUGUAGAGGAAGCACCGGCUAACUCC
Molecule: ribosomal RNA, 500 nt
Filed under: uncultured bacterium
Lineage: Bacteria
Description: bacterial SSU rRNA
Rfam family: Bacterial small subunit ribosomal RNA
Source: RNAcentral